CCUACGGGAGGCAGCAGUGAGGAAUAUUGGUCAAUGGACGCAAGUCUGAACCAGCCAUGCCGCGUGCAGGAAGACGGCUCUAGGAGUUGUAAACUGCUUUUGUACGAGGGUAAACGCAGAUACGCGUAUCUGUCUGAAAGGAUCGUACGAAUAAGGGUCGGCUAACUCCGUGCCAGCAGCCGCGGUACGACGGAGGGUUCAAGCGUUAUCCGGAUUUAUUGGGUUUAAAGGGUGCGUAGGCGGUCGGAUAAGUUAGAGGUGAAAUCCCGAGGCUCAACUUCGGAAUUGCCUCUGAUACUGUUAGGCUAGAGAGUAGUAGCGGUAGGCGGAAUGUAUGGUGUAGCGGUGAAAUGCUUAGAGAUCAUACAGAACACCGAUUGCGAAGGCAGCUUACCAAGCUACUUCUGACGUUGAGGCACGAAAGCGUGGGGAGCAAACAGGAUUAGAUACCCCUGUAGUC
Molecule: ribosomal RNA, 460 nt
Filed under: uncultured bacterium
Lineage: Bacteria
Description: partial 16S ribosomal RNA
Rfam family: Bacterial small subunit ribosomal RNA
Source: RNAcentral